GGGAGGACGAGGGGCGCGUGGUUUUCCCAUCUCAUCCCUGGAGGAGGGGCUGGAGCAUCCCCGGCAGCCAAUCAGGGACAGGCUGGGGGGGGACCGCUUUGAAGAAGUUUGGGGGAAAAAAGUUUGGAAAAGUUUCUAUAAUAACGAGGGGGCUUCUGGAGGGAGGCGGCAGCGACGGAGGAGGGGGCUUCUCAGAGAAAGGGAGGGAGGGAGCCACCCGGGUGAAGAUACAGCAGCCUCCUGAGCUCCCCCCUCCCACCCAGGCCGGGACCUGGGGGCUCCUGCCGGAUCCAUGGGGGCAGCCAGCUGCGAGGAUGAGGAGCUGGAAUUUAAGCUGGUGUUCGGGGAGGAAAAGGAGGCCCCCCCGCUGGGCGCGGGGGGAUUGGGGGAAGAACUGGACUCAGAGGAUGCCCCGCCAUGCUGCCGUCUGGCCUUGGGAGAGCCCCCUCCCUAUGGCGCUGCACCUAUCGGUAUUCCCCGACCUCCACCCCCUCGGCCUGGCAUGCAUUCGCCACCGCCGCGCCCAGCCCCCUCACCUGGCACCUGGGAGAGCCAGCCCGCCAGGUCGGUGAGGCUGGGAGGACCAGGAGGGGGUGCUGGGGGUGCUGGGGGUGGCCGUGUUCUCGAGUGUCCCAGCAUCCGCAUCACCUCCAUCUCUCCCACGCCGGAGCCGCCAGCAGCGCUGGAGGACAACCCUGAUGCCUGGGGGGACGGCUCUCCUAGAGAUUACCCCCCACCAGAAGGCUUUGGGGGCUACAGAGAAGCAGGGGGCCAGGGUGGGGGGGCCUUCUUCAGCCCAAGCCCUGGCAGCAGCAGCCUGUCCUCGUGGAGCUUCUUCUCCGAUGCCUCUGACGAGGCAGCCCUGUAUGCAGCCUGCGACGAGGUGGAGUCUGAGCUAAAUGAGGCGGCCUCCCGCUUUGGCCUGGGCUCCCCGCUGCCCUCGCCCCGGGCCUCCCCUCGGCCAUGGACCCCCGAAGAUCCCUGGAGCCUGUAUGGUCCAAGCCCCGGAGGCCGAGGGCCAGAGGAUAGCUGGCUACUCCUCAGUGCUCCUGGGCCCACCCCAGCCUCCCCGCGGCCUGCCUCUCCAUGUGGCAAGCGGCGCUAUUCCAGCUCGGGAACCCCAUCUUCAGCCUCCCCAGCUCUGUCCCGCCGUGGCAGCCUGGGGGAAGAGGGGUCUGAGCCACCUCCACCACCCCCAUUGCCUCUGGCCCGGGACCCGAGCUCCCCUGGUCCCUUUGACUAUGUGGGGGCCCCACCAGCUGAGAGCAUCCCUCAGAAGACACGGCGGACUUCCAGCGAGCAGGCAGUGGCUCUGCCUCGGUCUGAGGAGCCUGCCUCAUGCAAUGGGAAGCUGCCCUUGGGAGCAGAGGAGUCUGUGGCUCCUCCAGGAGGUUCCCGGAAGGAGGUGGCUGGCAUGGACUACCUGGCAGUGCCCUCCCCACUCGCUUGGUCCAAGGCCCGGAUUGGGGGACACAGCCCUAUCUUCAGGUCUAGGGAUUGAGAUGGGCUUGAGAAUCCUCUGUAUCCAAGUGAAGCCUUUCCACCCCAACCCCUGCGCUCAGAGCUGGGAAGAAGGGAGUUUUAGGCUUGUUGUCAUCUUUCACACCUCAAGGGGCUCUGUCCCCUACUUCCCCUUGCUUCUGGACUUUUGGAUUUCUUCAUUUCUUUGUCCUUUUUUUAGUUAAAAAAAAAUUCUUUUUUCCCUUCUUUUCACAAGUGUUGAUGUACUUCUUUAUUUCUUCUGUGCUUUCCUUUCUCUCAGACCUGUACCCCCUCCUCCCUCACAGAUCCAGUACGGGCCUGACUGGGGUCUGAGGCUGCACAUGAUCAAUGCUCUUCUCUCCCACCCAGGACCUCUGCCCUACCCCCACUGGACUGGCCUCUGCCCAGCCAAUAUGAGCAGCUGGAACUGAGGAUCGAGGUACAGCCUAGAGCCCACCACCGGGCCCACUAUGAGACAGAAGGCAGCCGUGGAGCUGUCAAAGCUGCCCCUGGCGGUCACCCCGUAGUCAAGCUCCUAGGCUACAGUGAGAAGCCACUGACCCUACAGAUGUUCAUCGGCACUGCAGAUGAAAGGAACCUGCGGCCUCAUGCCUUCUAUCAGGUGCACCGUAUCACAGGCAAGAUGGUGGCCACGGCCAGCUAUGAAGCUGUAGUCAGUGGCACCAAGGUGUUGGAGAUGACUCUGCUGCCUGAGAACAACAUGGCGGCCAACAUUGACUGCGCGGGAAUCCUGAAGCUUCGGAAUUCAGACAUUGAGCUUCGGAAGGGUGAGACGGACAUCGGGCGCAAAAACACACGUGUACGGCUGGUGUUCCGGGUACACGUGCCCCAGGGCGGCGGGAAGGUCGUCUCAGUACAGGCAGCAUCGGUGCCCAUCGAGUGCUCCCAGCGCUCAGCCCAGGAGCUGCCCCAGGUGGAGGCCUACAGCCCCAGUGCCUGCUCUGUGAGAGGAGGCGAGGAACUGGUACUGACUGGCUCCAACUUCCUGCCAGACUCUAAGGUGGUGUUCAUUGAGAGGGGUCCUGAUGGGAAGCUGCAAUGGGAGGAGGAGGCCACGGUGAACCGACUGCAGAGCAACGAGGUGACGCUGACCCUGACUGUCCCCGAGUACAGCAACAAGAGGGUUUCCCGGCCAGUCCAGGUCUACUUUUAUGUCUCCAAUGGGCGGAGGAAACGCAGUCCUACCCAGAGUUUCAAGUUUCUGCCUGUGAUCUGCAAAGAGGAGCCCCUACCGGACUCAUCUCUGCGGGGCUUCCCUUCAGCAUCGGCACCCCCAUUUGGCACUGACAUGGACUUCUCACCACCCAGGCCCCCCUACCCCUCCUAUCCCCAUGAAGACCCUGCUUGCGAAACUCCUUACCUAUCAGAAGGCUUCGGCUAUGGCAUGCCCCCUCUGUACCCCCAGACGGGGCCCCCACCAUCCUACAGACCGGGCCUGCGGAUGUUCCCUGAGACUAGGGGUACCACAGGUUGUGCCCAACCACCUCCAGUCUCCUUCCUUCCCCGCCCCUUCCCUAGUGACCCAUAUGGAGGGCGGGGCUCCUCUUUUCCCCUGGGGCUGCCAUUCUCUCCGCCAGCCCCCUUUCGGCCUCCUCUUCCUGCAUCCCCACCGCUUGAAGGCCCCUUCCCUUCCCAGAGUGAUGUGCAUCCCCUACCUGCUGAGGGAUACAAUAAGGUAGGGCCAGGCUAUGGCCCUGGGGAGGGGGCUCCGGAGCAGGAGAAAUCCAGGGGUGGCUACAGCAGCGGCUUCCGAGACAGUGUCCCUAUCCAGGGUAUCACGCUGGAGGAAGUGAGUGAGAUCAUUGGCCGAGACCUGAGUGGCUUCCCUGCACCUCCUGGAGAAGAGCCUCCUGCCUGAACCACGUGAACU
This 3373-nucleotide small RNA is filed under the name Pan troglodytes (chimpanzee). RNAcentral's name for it is "retained intron". Lineage: Eukaryota; Metazoa; Chordata; Mammalia; Primates; Hominidae. The record is from RNAcentral.